AACGUAGGACGCAAGCGUUAUCCGGAUUUACUGGGCGUAAAGCGCGGGCAGGCGGCUCGAAACGUCUGAUGUGAAAUCUCCUCGCUCAACGGGGAGAGGCCAUUGGAAACGGUCGAGCUGGAGGGCAGUAGAGGUAGGCGGAAUUCCGGGUGGAGUGGUGAAAUGCGUAGAGAUCCGGAGGAACACCAGAGGCGAAGGCGGCCUACUGGGCUGCACCUGACGCUGAGCCGCGAAAGCCAGGGGAGCGAACGGG
This 253-nucleotide ribosomal RNA is filed under the name uncultured bacterium. RNAcentral's name for it is "partial 16S ribosomal RNA". It matches the Rfam family "Bacterial small subunit ribosomal RNA", at positions 524 to 776 of the family's 1533-position model. The record is from RNAcentral.